AACUCCCUUUGUUGAGUUCUCCAGUGCAGAGAAGAUUGGCAUGACUCCUGCACAAGGAUGAUGCAACUUCACGAAGCAUUCCAUAUCUUU
This is a small nuclear RNA of Lynx canadensis (Canada lynx), 90 nucleotides long. The record is from Ensembl. NCBI's taxonomy places the organism in Eukaryota, Metazoa, Chordata, Mammalia, Carnivora, Felidae.